This is a long non-coding RNA of Benincasa hispida (wax gourd), 1017 nucleotides long. RefSeq lists it as uncharacterized. Lineage: Eukaryota; Viridiplantae; Streptophyta; Magnoliopsida; Cucurbitales; Cucurbitaceae. The record is from RefSeq and is a predicted model, not a curated record.
GAAAAGAUAAUAAGUUGGGUUUUGUUUGCGUUACCCAACCGUCAGGAACCCCCAUUCUUCAACAUAUUUGUCUCACUCUCACGCAGAAGCCUCAUCGGUAUCUCUCAACCAACCUGCUCGCAUUCCAUCCGUCGCAGGUCGCGUAUGUGGUCCAGCGUCGCCGCCUGUCAUCGACUAGCAGACCGUCCGUCCAGCCGUGUUCCACUUACUCGCGAGGCUGUUCGAUUCGUGUUUCGUCCAACCGCUGAUCUGGGUUGUUAAGCCACCGUCUACGCGCGCCUUUGCUGCUGAACCACCGCUAAGGCCGCCGCUUACGUUUCUGUCCAGCCGGAAUCUUAAGUUUAAGAUCAAGAUUGGUUAUUUUUGUAGAUUUGGUGAAUUUCAUGGAUGUUCUGGAUUGGGUUUGAAUGCCUAUGAGUGCCCAUUGAGUUUUGGGUUUAAAUCUUGAUUGAAUCUCGAGUGCCCAACAAGUUUUUGGCCUAAGUUCUUUCGCUCUUGACGUUUGAAGGUUGAUUUGGAAUUUUUGGCAGGAGUUGAGGUGUUGUCCACUUGACUUGAGACCCGUCCCGACAUGAUUUUGGUAAACGCAAGGAUAGAUCGACGAAUGACAAGAAGAAUCCGUGAUCGUGCCAUCGGGAUCCGACAAAUGUUUCUGCUCAUGCUUUCAUGUUUCCAUAUUUUAAAUUCCAGUCUUGAUGUUUAAAUCCAAUGCUAUAGUUUUUACAUUGAUAGACACUUUUUAAUUUUCCAGUUUUGUUUUAUAGCUAUUAGGGGUACCCGAUCAAAAAUUUCAGCUAUUCAGAUUUUAUAAAAUUCAUUUGGUUCUAGUCAAAUUUAUGAAAAUGGUCGUUUUAAAAUGUAUAUAUGUAUGUGACAACAACCUAAUAUAAGCCUUAGGAAGUUGGACCGUUGUAGAAGUUAGUUAAUUAUUAGUUAUGUUAGUUAACCAUCUUGUAAUUAACUCACUCUAGAAAUAAGUCUCCUCUCCUAUUAUGAGAAGAGAUUCAUUUUUUAAAA